Molecule: long non-coding RNA, 124 nt
Organism: Ostrinia furnacalis (Asian corn borer)
Lineage: Eukaryota; Metazoa; Arthropoda; Insecta; Lepidoptera; Crambidae
Exons: 2
Source: RefSeq, a predicted model, not a curated record
GGCUUCCACGCGGUGCGGUUGUGUGCCGUUAUGCCGCCCUAGGCCGUACGAACCUCCGACCAUGUUUCCCACCCGUGAGUGGAGCAUUGAUAACUAAACGCAACUAUUUACGAGCUGGCUGUAA